AUGACACCCUUUGUAGAUGAUACUUUUAGAAAAACAUGUUCGCCGAUCUGAAAUUUCAAUUCUCUUCUUUUUCUAUCUGUCCAACUCUUCUGUCUAUCCUGUGAUACCUUGAGGCUUUCUUUGAUCAGAUAAAUUUUCUCUCUAGCAUCUUGAACUAACUCGGGAUCCAAUAAUUUUUUUCACCCACAUCAUCCCAAUACAAAGGAGAUCUACACUUUCUUCCAUAUAGGACUUCAUAGG
RNAcentral lists this long non-coding RNA (240 nucleotides) under Elaeis guineensis (African oil palm). Its description in RNAcentral is "long non-coding RNA (EGUI_LNC074663)". Lineage: Eukaryota; Viridiplantae; Streptophyta; Magnoliopsida; Arecales; Arecaceae. The record is from RNAcentral.